RNAcentral lists this ribosomal RNA (169 nucleotides) under uncultured bacterium. RNAcentral describes it as "partial 16S ribosomal RNA". It matches the Rfam family "Bacterial small subunit ribosomal RNA", at positions 1334 to 1500 of the family's 1533-position model. The record is from RNAcentral.
GCUAGUAAUGGCAGGUCAGCAUACUGCCGUGAAUACGUUCCCGGGCCCUUGUACACACCGCCCGUCACACCAUGAGAGUUGGGGAUACCCGAAGCCUGUGAGCUAACUUUAUAAGGAGCAGCAGUCGAAGGUAGAAUCAAUGAUUGGGGUGAAGUCGUAACAAGGUAAC